GGAGAGGUGUCCGAGCGGUCUAAGGAGCGCGACUGGAAAUCGCGUAUGGGCUGAAAGGUCCAUCGCGGGUUCAAAUCCCGCCCUCUCCG
RNAcentral lists this transfer RNA (89 nucleotides) under Myxococcaceae bacterium. RNAcentral describes it as "tRNA-Ser". It matches the Rfam family "tRNA". From Rfam's summary of the family: Transfer RNA (tRNA) molecules are approximately 80 nucleotides in length. Their secondary structure includes four short double-helical elements and three loops (D, anti-codon, and T loops). Further hydrogen bonds mediate the characteristic L-shaped molecular structure. tRNAs have two regions of fundamental functional importance: the anti-codon, which is responsible for specific mRNA codon recognition, and the 3' end, to which the tRNAs corresponding amino acid is attached (by aminoacyl-tRNA synthetases). tRNAs cope with the degeneracy of the genetic code in two manners: having more than one tRNA (with a specific anti-codon) for a particular amino acid; and 'wobble' base-pairing, i.e. permitting non-standard base-pairing at the 3rd anti-codon position. Lineage: Bacteria; Pseudomonadati; Myxococcota; Myxococcia; Myxococcales; Myxococcaceae. RNAcentral also lists the same sequence under 3 other names. The record is from RNAcentral.